Molecule: ribosomal RNA, 497 nt
Filed under: uncultured bacterium
Lineage: Bacteria
Description: partial 16S ribosomal RNA
Rfam family: Bacterial small subunit ribosomal RNA
Source: RNAcentral
GAUGAACGCUGGCGGCGUGCCUAAUACAUGCAAGUCGAGCGAACAGAUGAGGAGCUUGCUCCUCUGACGUUAGCGGCGGACGGGUGAGUAACACGUGGAUAACCUACCUAUAAGACUGGGAUCACUUCGGGAAACCGGAGCUAAUACCGGAUAAUAUCUUGAACCGCAUGGUUCAAUAGUGAAAGACGGUUUUGCUGUCACUUAUAGAUGGAUCCGCGCCGCAUUGGCUAGUUGGUAAGGUAACGGCUUACCAAGGCAACGAUGCGUAGCCGACCUGAGAGGGUGAUCGGCCACACCGGAACUGAGAAACGGUCCAGACUCCUACGGGAGGCAGCAGAAGGGAAUAUUCCGCAAUGGGCGAAAGCAUGACGGAGCAACGCCGCGUGAGUGAUGAAGGUCUUCGGAUCGUAAAACUCUGUUAUUAGGGAAGAACAAAUGUGUAAGUAACUAUGCACGUCUUGACGGUACCUAAGCAGAAAGCCACGGCUAACUACGUG